ACCUCCAUGAUGUCUGUAAUAAAAGUCCCAAAGGAACUGAUGCUGACAAUCGAUUUAUAACUUCGACAAGAUUGAAAAAAUGAUGACCAGCCUUAAUCGAUUUCCGAGCUCUACUGGUGUCUCAUCCGAAGUGUCUUCAUCAAUUUGACCAAUCCCAGAGGAGCAAGCAGUCAAUGUGUAUAUCUGGGAUUUCUUUCUUUCUAUCAAGAAACAGAACAAUACGAUGCGAUAUUCAGCCCUACUUCCAAGUCGCCAAGACAACCAGUCAACGAGAGACCAUCUCCACGAUUGCUUCGACUAGAAGAAGUAACAGCUAAACAUUCUCGUAAAUUACUGCUUGCUGUCAUAUAAAAGUAUAAAAGAACUCGUUUUGUUAAUGUAAUCGUAACUACAUUAUUUCUUAAA
This is a long non-coding RNA of Octopus bimaculoides (California two-spot octopus), 405 nucleotides long. NCBI's taxonomy places the organism in Eukaryota, Metazoa, Mollusca, Cephalopoda, Octopoda, Octopodidae. The record is from RefSeq and is a predicted model, not a curated record.